CCUACGGGUGGCAGCAGUGGGGAAUAUUGCACAAUGGGGGAAACCCUGAUGCAGCGACGCCGCGUGAGUGAAGAAGGAUUUCGGUACGUAAAGCUCUAUCAGCAGGGAAGAAAAUGACGGUACCUGACUCAGAAGCCCCGGCUAACUCCGUGCCAGCAGCCGCGGUAAUACGUAGGGGGCAAGCGUUAUCCGGAUAUACUGGGAGUAAAGGGAGCGUAGGCGGGAGCGCAAGUCUGGAGCGAAAGUCCGGGGCCCAACCCGGGAACUGCGCUGGAAACUGUGACGCUGGAGUGCAGGAGAGGUGAGCGGAAUUCCUGGUGUAGCGGUGAAAUGCGUAGAUAUCAGGAGGAACACCGGCGGCGAAGGCGGCUUACUGGACUGUAACUGACGCUGAGGCUCGAAGGCGUGGGGAGCAAACAGGAUUAGAUACCCGAGUAGUC
This 440-nucleotide ribosomal RNA is filed under the name uncultured bacterium. RNAcentral describes it as "partial 16S ribosomal RNA". It matches the Rfam family "Bacterial small subunit ribosomal RNA", at positions 338 to 795 of the family's 1533-position model. The record is from RNAcentral.